UAAGGAAUAUUGGUCAAUGGACGCAAGUCUGAACCAGCCAUGCCGCGUGAAGGAUGAAGGUCCUCUGGAUUGUAAACUUCUUUUAUCUGGGACGAAAACGGGAUUUUUAUCUCAAUUGACGGUACCAGAGGAAUAAGCACCGGCUAACUCCGUGCCAGCAGCCGCGGUAAUACGGAGGGUGCGAGCGUUAUCCGGAUUUACUGGGUUUAAAGGGUGCGUAGGUGGGCUUAUAAGUCAGUGGUGAAAUCUCCGAGCUUAACUUGGAAACUGCCGUUGAUACUAUAGGCUUUCAAUUAUCUGGAGGUAAGCGGAAUAUGUCAUGUAGCGGUGAAAUGCUUAGAUAUGACAUAGAACACCAAUUGCGAAGGCAGCUUACUACAUAUAAAUUGACGCUGAGGCACGAAAGCGUGGGGAUCAAACA
This 421-nucleotide ribosomal RNA is filed under the name uncultured bacterium. RNAcentral describes it as "bacterial SSU rRNA". It matches the Rfam family "Bacterial small subunit ribosomal RNA", at positions 355 to 774 of the family's 1533-position model. The record is from RNAcentral.